GCCAGGUGUUGUGGCGCAUGCCUGUAAUCCCAGCUACUUAGGAGGCUGAGGCAGGAGAAUCACUUGAACCCAGGAGGCGGAGGCUGCAGUGAGCCAAGAUCAUGCCACUGCACUCCAGCCUGGGCAAUACAGUGAGACUCUGUCUCAA
This 148-nucleotide non-coding RNA is filed under the name Homo sapiens (human). The record is from Rfam by way of RNAcentral. Lineage: Eukaryota; Metazoa; Chordata; Mammalia; Primates; Hominidae.